Molecule: ribosomal RNA, 400 nt
Filed under: phytoplankton environmental sample
Lineage: Eukaryota
Description: partial small subunit ribosomal RNA
Rfam family: Eukaryotic small subunit ribosomal RNA
Source: RNAcentral
AGCUCCAAUAGCGUAUAUUAAAGUUGUUGCAGUUAAAAAGCUCGUAGUUGGAUUUGUGGAUGAGUUGACUGGUCCGGCACUUGUGCCGGUUCUGGUCCACUUGUCCAUCCUUGGGUGGAAUCUGUGUGGCAUUAAGUUGUCGCGCAGGGGAUGCCCAUCUUUUACUGUGAAAAAAAUAGAGUGUUCAAAGCAGGCUUAUGCCGUUGAAUAUAUUAGCAUGGAAUAAUGAGAUAGGACCUUGGUACUAUUUUGUUGGUUUGCGCACCGAGGUAAUGAUUAAUAGGGACAGUUGGGGGUAUUCGUAUUCCAAUGUCAGAGGUGAAAUUCUUGGAUUUUUGGAAGACGAACUACUGCGAAAGCAUUUACCAAGGAUGUUUUCAUUAAUCAAGAACGAAAGUAC